GACGAACGCUGGCGGCGUGCUUAACACAUGCAAGUCGAACGCUGAAGCUUGGUGCUUGCACUGGGUGGAUGAGUGGCGAACGGGUGAGUAAUACGUGAGUAACCUGCCCUUGACUCUGGGAUAAGCCUGGGAAACUGGGUCUAAUACUGGAUACGACAUGCCACUGCAUGGUGGUGUGUGGAAAGGGUUUUACUGGUUUUGGAUGGGCUCACGGCCUAUCAGCUUGUUGGUGGGGUAAUGGCCUACCAAGGCGACGACGGGUAGCCGGCCUGAGAGGGUGACCGGCCACACUGGGACUGAGACACGGCCCAGACUCCUACGGGAGGCAGCAGUGGGGAAUAUUGCACAAUGGGCGGAGGCCUGAUGCAGCGACGCCGCGUGAGGGAUGACGGCCUUCGGGUUGUAAACCUCUUUCAGCACGGAAGAAGCGAGAGUGACGGUACGUGCAGAAGAAGCGCCGGCUAACUACGUG
This 472-nucleotide ribosomal RNA is filed under the name uncultured bacterium. RNAcentral's name for it is "partial 16S ribosomal RNA". It matches the Rfam family "Bacterial small subunit ribosomal RNA", at positions 28 to 507 of the family's 1533-position model. The record is from RNAcentral.